This 253-nucleotide ribosomal RNA is filed under the name uncultured bacterium. RNAcentral describes it as "partial 16S ribosomal RNA". It matches the Rfam family "Bacterial small subunit ribosomal RNA", at positions 524 to 776 of the family's 1533-position model. The record is from RNAcentral.
UACGAAGGGGGCUAGCGUUGCUCGGAAUGACUGGGCGUAAAGGGCGCGUAGGCGGUUUGUACAGUCAGGUGUGAAAUUCCCGGGCUCAACCUGGGGGCUGCACUUGAUACGUAGGAACUGGAGUGGGGAAGAGGGUCGUGGAAUUCCCAGUGUAGAGGUGAAAUUCGUAGAUAUUGGGAAGAACACCGGUGGCGAAGGCGGCGACCUGGUCCUUGACUGACGCUGAGGCGCGAAAGCGUGGGGAGCAAACAGG